Long non-coding RNA from Osmia lignaria (orchard mason bee), 1182 nucleotides. RefSeq lists it as uncharacterized. The record is from RefSeq and is a predicted model, not a curated record. NCBI's taxonomy places the organism in Eukaryota, Metazoa, Arthropoda, Insecta, Hymenoptera, Megachilidae.
UCUACAAUUACAAUUCCGCUGAGCGUAUACAGAAGACUGAUCGUGAGAAUAAUGAUCGUCAGGCGAUUCAAGUAAAUUCUUCAGACAUUAUUUUGAAAAGAUAAAAAAGAAAAAGAAAAAAGUUGCAGCAGAGGAUCGGGUAGCAAAAUGGAAAUGGUGAAAAUAUUAAUAAACUGCUCGUUUCUCCUAUGCCAAACUGGUCGCAAGUGUCUCGCAACCAAGUGUUUGCACUUUGGUUUUUUCGAACAAUAAGAAAACGAGAACGAGAACGAGAACGAGAAGAAGAAGUGACUCGCGUGUCUUUAAUGGGGGAAAAAAUCAAGUAUUUUUCGGCUACGGGUUGACGAACUUGAAAUUCUUGUCCAAUGGAAUAAACAGCAAGUGCUCUUUCCUUUUAAAAAUAAAGGAAAAUCAAGUGAAAAUGAUAAGUAUUUCGAGCCGAAAGGUUAAAGUUUCUUCUUUCUCAUCGUCAGAUGGGCUUUCGAGCGUACCUAAUUCGGUAAGGACGCGAAUACGACGACGUUGCUUCAGAGACAACUGGGAAUAUUCGGUCGAAACGAUUCAAACUGACGUAAAUAAUCGUUUGAAAUGGCGCGGCGAAUAAAAACCGUUUCCGUUCGAGCAAACUCGUUGCAUCAGUUUGCCUUACCUUGUUCGCUUUUGCUCGCGAUGCAUCCCCCGAGGCGAGUCAAUUUCAGAAGGAGAGAAAUGAAAAUAUCUAUUCGUCGAAACGACAAGAAAACUACGCCAAGCAGCCUGGCUUGUCUAGUGGUGAAAAGAAACGUUAGAAAAGUUGAAUUUUCCAACACCGCCAUAGCUUUUUGCAUAAUAAAACGAUUACGUGAUGGGGUUCGCUGCAAACAAUUUGGCUGAAAUUGCCGUACGUGCGCGAUUCGUGGAGAUAAGCACUGGAGAGAACGGAAACGGCCCUCUUGAGGACGCGACCGAGCGUCAUCUCGUCGCUGCCCUCGCGCUACCUCUUCCUUCUUCGUGUCUUACAAAAAAUUUACCUCCACGUUACUUUGCACACUUGUCGACUUCUACCAAAGACCGAGAAAGAAAGAAAGAAAGAAAGAAAGAAAGAAAGUUGCUCGUCUACUUUGCUUAGAAAUUCUCCAAUUAUCAUUUCUUAACCCCUUCAACGGUAACUGAAAACUAACAAUUUUAACAGAAAGAAUGGAA